Molecule: long non-coding RNA, 536 nt
Filed under: Elaeis guineensis (African oil palm)
Lineage: Eukaryota; Viridiplantae; Streptophyta; Magnoliopsida; Arecales; Arecaceae
Description: long non-coding RNA (EGUI_LNC045536)
Source: RNAcentral
GAUUAUAAGAAAAUGCCAACUUCAAUCUCUCAGCAACUCAUACAUAAAACAAACUCGUAAAACAUUACUGUCUUUAAAGAAAUACAUAAAUUGAUACACUUCCUUGAACUUAUAAAUCUCAAACAACAGAGCAAAUAUAUAAACAAUUACACAUAUACCAUGCAUCCUAAGGAGGUCAACAUGAUGUCCUGAUGAUGCUUGCUGUUCUACUCAUGCUUGUCUCCUCCUUUGCUUUUCAUACUAUGACCUGCACCAGGGCUGUGGCCGGGUGUCGUGGGGGCACUUUCUGUUGUCACCAUAGGUACACGAUCAUCAUGACCUUCAAUGGUAUGUGAGACCAAGCUGGUUGUCGUUCCUUCCAUAUGCUUAUCACCUCCUGCAGGGCAUUCUCUACAUCCCUGGGUUUUAAAGUUCUCUGCCAUCAGAUGCCUUCCCUCUGAUGAAGGACAUUCAUUAGCAAGAAUUAGCACAAUAACAAGGGCGCAAGCACAGAAAUGCUUCUUCCCUGCCAUGAGAGAGAGAGAGAGAGAGAGAGA